RNAcentral lists this ribosomal RNA (453 nucleotides) under uncultured Clostridium sp. Its description in RNAcentral is "bacterial SSU rRNA". It matches the Rfam family "Bacterial small subunit ribosomal RNA", at positions 98 to 569 of the family's 1533-position model. The record is from RNAcentral. Lineage: Bacteria; Bacillati; Bacillota; Clostridia; Eubacteriales; Clostridiaceae.
GCGGACGGGUGAGUAACGCGUGGGUAACCUGCCCUGUACACACGGAUAACAUACCGAAAGGUAUGCUAAUACGGGAUAACAUAAGAAAGUCGCAUGGCUUUCUUAUCAAAGCUUUUGCGGUACAGGAUGGACCCGCGUCUGAUUAGCUAGUUGGUAAGGUAACGGCUUACCAAGGCGACGAUCAGUAGCCGACCUGAGAGGGUGAUCGGCCACAUUGGAACUGAGACACGGUCCAAACUCCUACGGGAGGCAGCAGUGGGGAAUAUUGCACAAUGGGCGAAAGCCUGAUGCAGCAACGCCGCGUGAGCGAUGAAGGCCUUCGGGUCGUAAAGCUCUGUCCUCAAGGAAGAUAAUGACGGUACUUGAGGAGGAAGCCCCGGCUAACUACGUGCCAGCAGCCGCGGUAAUACGUAGGGGGCUAGCGUUAUCCGGAAUUACUGGGCGUAAAGGGUG